AGUGAACGCUGGCGGCAGGCCUAACACAUGCAAGUCGAACGGCAGCACAGUAAGAGCUUGCUCUUACGGGUGGCGAGUGGCGGACGGGUGCGGAAUACACCGGAAUCUACUUUUUCGUGGGGGCUAACGUAGGAUAACUUACGCUAAUACAGCAUAAGACCUCCGGGUGAAAGCAGGGGACCUUCGGACUUUGCGCGUUUGAAUGAGCCGAUGUCGGGUUAGGUAGUGGGGGGGGUAAAGGCUCACCAAGGGGACGAUCCGUAGCUGGUCUGAGAGCAUGAUCAGGCACACUGGAACUGAGACACGGUCCAGACUCCGACGGGAGGCAGCAGUGGGGAAUAUUGGGCGAUGGGCGAGAGCCUGAUCCAGCCAAACCGCGUAAGUGAUGAAGGAGUUCGGGUGGUAGAGCCAUGUUGUUGGUAGGAAAAAACAGCACUUUAACCCCCCGCUGUAAUGACGGUACCCAAAGAAGAAGCACCGGCUAACUUCGUG
RNAcentral lists this ribosomal RNA (492 nucleotides) under uncultured bacterium. RNAcentral describes it as "partial 16S ribosomal RNA". It matches the Rfam family "Bacterial small subunit ribosomal RNA", at positions 29 to 507 of the family's 1533-position model. The record is from RNAcentral.